Long non-coding RNA from Pan troglodytes (chimpanzee), 892 nucleotides. RefSeq lists it as uncharacterized. The transcript is spliced from 3 exons. NCBI's taxonomy places the organism in Eukaryota, Metazoa, Chordata, Mammalia, Primates, Hominidae. The record is from RefSeq and is a predicted model, not a curated record.
CAGGGACCUGCCAUUCUGCAGCCCCGCCUCGCUCCAGAUCUCAGGGGUCCUGAGCCUGCUCCGCAGGAGGACCGCCUGCUUCCCACCUGUCUUCACACGUGUGUGCUUCUUCUCCGACUGCGGAGCCCGUGGCAGAGCGGACUCUUCUGGGCUCACACCGCCAGCACGGCAGGCCCCCUGCACCAGGACCUGAGAACAGCUGUGUUUUGGACCAGGGACACCUUCUGAGCAGCACACUUGGGCAGUUGCAUCUCUGUGAAUUAGCGGGACACAUGCACACACGGGCAGUGAUCCAUCCGGCUCCCAGAGACUCUCGGCCGCCUCCAUCCAUCUCCCUGACGGGUACCCGGUAGAAGCGGCACAGCCCAAGCUGACUCCUCUGAACGAGACAGCCUCAGAGCUCAGGAGCAGGCGGGGCCGGCCUCCCAGGCGAUGCUCCCGUUUUAGACGAGAUGCAAAUGCCCCGCCGUUUCCCACAGCAGACGGAAGGCUGAUAAUAACUCAGUCUUUGCCACGGGAGGGACAGCUUCCUGGAACACGUCCACCGCCGAAUCCCCAGCGAGCACACCGAAGUGCAGAAACCGGGCUUGUCGUGGAAUGAUCAGCACAGCAGGAAGGCGGGCCUUGUCUGCCAGCGCUGCUGCCCGGAGCCACUCGGGGUAUCGGUGUCAGUCAUCCCGAGGACAGGGACAGAGGUGCAGGGUGGCUUCCUGGGGCCUGGGGAGGCCGAGGGUGCAGCUGAUGCCAGGCCCUGGGGCUCCUGGGCUUCCGUCCUCUGUAAUCAGCCCUGCCCCGCUAUCUACUUUAGAGGAUGAGUUUCAAAGGCAGAGUUCGAUUAUCAUGAAAAGGAUUUCCCAGAGAACACACAGAAAGGCAGACUCCUCCUCAGAAA